AGUCACUGACAUUAGAUACCCCUGUAGUCCAGGGUGUAAACGCUGCAGACUUGGUGUUGGAGGCCCUUUGGGGGCAUUCAGUGCCGGAGAGAAGUUGUUAAGUCUGCUACUUGGGGAGUACGUCCGCAAGGAUGAAACUUAAAGGAAUUGGCGGGGGAGCACCGCAACGGGAGGAGCGUGCGGUUUAAUUGGAUUCAACACCGUAAAACUCACCAGGGAAGACUGUUACAUGAAAGCCGAGAUGAAGACUCUGCUAGAUUUUCAG
This 265-nucleotide ribosomal RNA is filed under the name uncultured archaeon. Its description in RNAcentral is "partial 16S ribosomal RNA". It matches the Rfam family "Archaeal small subunit ribosomal RNA", at positions 718 to 982 of the family's 1478-position model. The record is from RNAcentral.